AUCCAGCUGACGAGUCUCAAAUAGAACUAAAUGUUGGUUGUCUUGGAU
Molecule: non-coding RNA, 48 nt
Filed under: Trichobilharzia regenti
Lineage: Eukaryota; Metazoa; Platyhelminthes; Trematoda; Strigeidida; Schistosomatidae
Source: RNAcentral